UUGCUCAGGCUGGUGUCAAACUCCUGGGCUCAAGUGAUUCUCCCUUCUUGGCCUCUCAAAGUGCUGAGAUUACAGGUAUGAGCCACCAUGCCCAGCUGCAAGUAAAUUUUUGUCCCGAAUAAAAGACUUUCAUAUUUGUUCCUUUAAAAAUGUAUACUACUGACUUUGGCCUAGAAUGCCCUAUGUCUAAACCUUUCUAGAUUCUGAUGUGUCCCCACUCCCUCCUCAUGUCUGGCAUCUUGUCAUACCUCCUGGAACGUGCAAAUCUGGCACUGUGCUUUCUGGAUGUCCAUGCCAGUCUUGGGCAAAGACAGUACACAGGACAGGGAGGAAUACAGGAGGUCCUGCAGCUCACUAGGCCUCCUCGACAGCUGACACCAAUCUACUAAUACUCCAUAUUAGCAUCCUUUCGCUUUUCAUGUGCAAACGUGGCUCCCUUUUCAUUCAUCUUAGUUGAGCUUGUAGCUGCCAUAAAUAUAACUCUCCUUUUUUGUAAAUGGGAACCACAGUGGACCCUCGGAAUUCACCAAUUCAGGUGGGAUUAGGAACAUCUCCCGAAGCCAUCAUUUGUUAAAACCUGCCUCCUGCUCCUUGGUACCUCUCAAAGCCAACCUCAUUUGUUAAAAAGAAACUCAACAGCCAUUCUGCAAGCUUGGAAAUAGAAACCAAGGGAAAUUAACACAAAGGAUAUUUUACUCUUGUUUAGCCACGGCUCUAGGCAUUGUUCUGUCUUCUCCAACCCUGUACCCCCAGUGACCAGCCUGGCACACAGGGAAUACUCAAUGUUUGUGGAAGGAGUGUGUAUAUUCAACUGUCCAUUGGAGUGAUAUAUGGAGAGAACGAAAAAACGAUGAAAAACUCCCCGAAGCAUGUUAUCUCUAUAGCAUGCCCUCUGAGACCACACCUCCUAUUGCUCAACAGGCUUCUUCAUCUGCUGGAAGGACAUAUACAUGAGUUCUGACACUGCAAUUUUAGAUCAGAAGUCCUCUUUUAUGUUUUUAUCCAAAAGAAAAACGCCAUGUUAUCAAUUAUAAAAAUAGGCAAACAUUGAAUUCAACUAAUAGACACAUUAUAAAACAGAAAGCAGAAGCCUUCUACAGACUUCCCCUCUGAAGAAGGGCAUUCUUCACAGGUUGGUGUCUUUUUCCAGGCUUUUAUACUAAACACAUACAUUUAUUUUUCAAGUGUUUCAUAUCUUGAUUUUCUCCUUAAUAUACAGUGGAGGUGUUUUCCUAUCACAAUAUUGAAUUGACUUUAUAAUAAUUUGUUUAAACAAUCCCAUAAUGACGAACACUUGGCUGUCUUUAGUCCUCUGCUGUCAACGCUAUAGUAUACAUCCUAGAAUAUCCAUCUUUGCAAAUUUCUCUAAUUUCCUUGUAAUAACAUUUUUAAUGUAAAACUGGUGGGUCAGAGGUUAUUCAUAUUUAAAAUGGUUUAAUAUUGCCAAAAUAGCCUCCAGGAAAAGUACCAACUGACCAUUCUAUCCACAUUCCUGCCAAACAAGGAUAUUAUCAAACUUUUAAGUCUUUGCUAAGAAAGUGGGCAAAAAUGCUACUGUGGCUCUAAUUUGCUUUUAUUUGAUUAUUGGUAAAGCUGAACAUUUUUCCAUGUAUUCUUUGGCUAUUUUCAUUCUUUUGUGAAAUAUCUAUUCCUAUUCUUUGCCCAUUUUCCACUGGUUCAUAUUUUUAUUUUUGAUUUAAUAAGAGCUCUUUGUAUUCUGACAGUGUUUACUCUCGUUGUAUAUGUGAUAAUUUCCACACAGGUCUUAAGUUUUAAAGACACAGGUCAAGUUAUUUAGAUCAAGAAGCCGCAAGUAACAAAGGCAUGCGCACCCCCGCUCCCCCUGGUGGCAGCACUUGCUAAUUGCAGGUAAAGAAUCUCUACUGCAAUAAAUAGCUUAGAGCACAAAGUUCCCAAAUUAGGCUGCAAAAUAAAAAUCAUCCAGGGAAUUUAGAAAAUCUUAAAAUACAAACCAAUUAAAUCAGAAUGCCUAAGAUGAGACCCAGGCAUUAACUGAAAAACACUGUUCUUGAGAAUUGACUUUUAUAACUAUCACCUACAAAUUGAUGUAAAAAUCAAUUUU
This is a long non-coding RNA of Sapajus apella (tufted capuchin), 2083 nucleotides long. RefSeq lists it as uncharacterized. The transcript is spliced from 3 exons. Lineage: Eukaryota; Metazoa; Chordata; Mammalia; Primates; Cebidae. The record is from RefSeq and is a predicted model, not a curated record.